UACGGAGGGUCCAAGCGUUAUCCGGAAUCAUUGGGUUUAAAGGGUCCGUAGGCGGUUUUGUAAGUCAGUGGUGAAAGCCCAUCGCUCAACGGUGGAACGGCCAUUGAUACUGCAAAACUUGAAUUAUUGGGAAGUAACUAGAAUAUGUAGUGUAGCGGUGAAAUGCUUAGAUAUUACAUGGAAUACCAAUUGCGAAGGCAGGUUACUAUCAAUACAUUGACGCUGAUGGACGAAAGCGUGGGGAGCGAACAGG
RNAcentral lists this ribosomal RNA (253 nucleotides) under uncultured bacterium. Its description in RNAcentral is "partial 16S ribosomal RNA". It matches the Rfam family "Bacterial small subunit ribosomal RNA", at positions 524 to 776 of the family's 1533-position model. The record is from RNAcentral.